UACGUAGGGGGCAAACGUUGUCCGGAUUUACUGGGUGUAAAGGGUGCUCAGGCGGCUUUGUAAGUCAGAAGUGAAAUCCUAGAGCUUAACUCUGGAACUGCUUUUGAUACUGCAAAGCUUGAAUGUGGAAGAGGAUGAUGGAAUUUCUGGUGCAGCAGUGAAAUGCGUAGAUAUCAGAAAGAACACCAGUGGCGAAGGCGGUCAUCUGGUCCACUAUUGACGCUAAAGCACGAAAGCGUGGGGAGCAAACAGG
This 253-nucleotide ribosomal RNA is filed under the name uncultured bacterium. RNAcentral's name for it is "partial 16S ribosomal RNA". It matches the Rfam family "Bacterial small subunit ribosomal RNA", at positions 524 to 776 of the family's 1533-position model. The record is from RNAcentral.